Molecule: long non-coding RNA, 965 nt
Filed under: Erythranthe guttata (spotted monkey flower)
Lineage: Eukaryota; Viridiplantae; Streptophyta; Magnoliopsida; Lamiales; Phrymaceae
Description: long non-coding RNA (EGUT_LNC002261)
Source: RNAcentral
CAAAGUGUAUGUGACAUAUGAAUUUUUGUUUUGCUGUACAGGAUGAUGAAGAAUCCGUGUUACGGAGAGAGAAAGAAAUAGAUAAAAUUAGUAUAGAAGGCAUUUCUUUUGAUGGAAAGGUUUAAUAGUUUUUGCCAUAGGUUGGUGUGAAUUCUUGUUUCGUUUAAAUAAUUUUUUUUACGAUCUUUGUCAUGAAUUUUUAUUUAUGAUUGGUUCUUUUUUUUCCAGUAAGAGCACGGGUAAUGCAAUUGCAGAAUAUUUUUCCAGAUCGGAACUUGGCUGUACUUGUUUCAGUGUAGGAGAGAUUUGCGUUAUCAAGUCAUAUAUAGUCACACGGGAUCGAACCGAGCCUGCUUUUAGUGUUCUAGUUUCGAUAGAUCGGAGUUGUCGGGUUGAAAAGUGAGAUUUGAAGCUAUAAAUUCAAAUUAUACUAUACAUGACUAUACUCAUAUAGUUAGUCACAUGUAGUUAUAUAUAGUCACAUAUAGUCAUAUACAUGUAGUCAUAUAUAGUCACAUAUAGUCAUAUACAUGUAGUCAUAUAUAUAGUCACAUAUAGUCAUAUACAUGUAGUCAUAUAUAGUCACAUGUAGUCAUAUAUAGUCACAUAUAGUCAUAUACAUGUAGUCAUAUAUAGUCACAUAUGGUCAUAUACAUGUAAUUAUAUAUAGUCACGUUUAGUAGCAUGUAAUUAUAUAUUUUUAUAUAAAAGAUAUGCGUUUCUUCUGAUGUAUACUGAUGAUGGUGUUAAUGAUUGUGUUUUUUGAUUUUUUUGUUGGGCACUAAUUGAUUUAUAAUAACAAGAUUCAAAUUGUAAAUUUAUUUGUUGGUAUAAAUGAAGUUUUUUUUAUAUAAUCAACGGGUUACAUAAUCGGUCGACCAUAAUUUUGGGAUAAAAAAUAGUACAUGACUACAUAUAACUAUACAUGACUGUCGUAUACUAUAGUCAUGUGUAGUCAAUUUAUU